This 323-nucleotide ribosomal RNA is filed under the name uncultured eukaryote. RNAcentral's name for it is "partial 18S ribosomal RNA". It matches the Rfam family "Eukaryotic small subunit ribosomal RNA", at positions 1471 to 1796 of the family's 1831-position model. The record is from RNAcentral.
CCCUAGAUGUCCUGGGCUGCACGCGCGCUACACUGAUGUGUCCAGUAAGCACCUAACCUCUUCCGAAAGGAACGGGUAACCUUUGCAAAGCACAUCGUGAUGGGGAUAGAUUAUUGCAAUUAUUAGUCUUGAACGAGGAAUUCCUAGUAAGCACAAGUCAUCAGCUUGUGUUGAUUACGUCCCUGCCCUUUGUACACACCGCCCGUCGCUCCUACCGAUUGAAUGUUCCGGUGAGCUCUUCGGACUGCGCGGUCUGCAGUUUCUGCGUUCCGUGCGGAAAGUUGCGCAAACCUUAACAUUUAGAGGAAGGAGAAGUCGUAACA